This 509-nucleotide ribosomal RNA is filed under the name uncultured bacterium. RNAcentral describes it as "bacterial SSU rRNA". It matches the Rfam family "Bacterial small subunit ribosomal RNA", at positions 19 to 518 of the family's 1533-position model. The record is from RNAcentral.
CUGGCUCAGGAUGAACGCUAGCUACAGGCUUAACACAUGCAAGUCGAGGGGCAGCAUGAAGUCAGCUUGCUGACUUGAUGGCGACCGGCGCACGGGUGCGUAACACGUAUCCAAUCUACCCAUGGCUCAGGGAUAGCCUUUCGAAAGAAAGAUUAAUACCUGAUGGCCUUACAUGGAGACAUCUCCUAGUAAGUAAAGAUUUAUCGGCGAUGGAUGAGGAUGCGUCUGAUUAGAUAGUAGGCGGGGUAACGGCCCACCUAGUCGACGAUCAGUAGGGGUUCUGAGAGGAAGGUCCCCCACAUUGGAACUGAGACACGGUCCAAACUCCUACGGGAGGCAGCAGUGAGGAAUAUUGGUCAAUGGACGAGAGUCUGAACCAGCCAAGUAGCGUGAAGGACGACUGCCCUAUGGGUUGUAAACUUCUUUUGUUUGGGAAUAAAGUGGGCCACGUGUGGCCUUUUGUAUGUACCAUACGAAUAAGCAUCGGCUAAUUCCGUGCCAGCAGCUGC